GGAUACAGCGGCAGGGAACUGCAAAAAUGGAGGAGGUGGAAGGAAGCUCUCAGCCGGGGCAGCCGGCCCCUCGUUUCAGGACACCAUGGCUGGGAAGGGAGAAGGAGGAGAGAAGAUCCAAGCUGAGCGGUGGGGGAGGCCUUCCCGGAGCUAAACGGAACCAAGGAGUCCCUGAUCACUUGAAGCCAGCCUUGUUUCUCUCACAAAGCUCUGCCCGAGAGUCCAGAACGUCCUCUUAGGGAAUGUGAAUAUGAGCCCCGCGGGGAACCACUGGAAAUCUCUCCUCAGCAUGAUUGGCACCCAGCCACCCGCCUCCUCACCUCUUCUCGGCUUAUUGAAGGUGGGCGUGGCGGUGGACCAAGAAGAUGUUUAGAAUCAGCUGUCUGACACUUCUGAGGCUCCCUCACCUUCAACUGACAAUCUGCAUUUCUUUUAAAUCUAGAGAAACAGCUCCUUGCUCAAGAGUUACUUACCUUGUCAAUGAUUAUUACUUUUCUUGGCUGUAGGCUGCAUGUGAAAAAGGAAUGAUAAGCCAGCUAGCUGCCUCUUCUCUCUCCCUAGUGGAAAAUAUCGCCCUCAUUCCCACGCCACCCCCCAUUGCAAGAUUCCAGACCCCUGGUUAUUUUCUGAUUAACAAAGGCAGAGGCACCCUCGAGAAAUAACACCACUGAAUAAAAAAUAGUCAAACUAUG
Homo sapiens (human) is the source of this 692-nucleotide long non-coding RNA. RefSeq annotates it as EGFLAM antisense RNA 7. NCBI's taxonomy places the organism in Eukaryota, Metazoa, Chordata, Mammalia, Primates, Hominidae. The transcript is spliced from 2 exons. The record is from RefSeq and is a predicted model, not a curated record.